CUAACAUUUCCUCCCCCGUUCUCACUCUAGGCUGAUGACCUUACUUCCUAUCACUGAGAAAGUUGCAUCAGUAGGAAGAGAACUUCCACAUCUACCCACUUGUGAUCAUAUGCAGCAUUUCCUUUUUCCUUCUGUUGUUACCAUAUGUGAAUUAUCUAUGUUCCUAUAAAAGACUAAUUUCUUUACUUGUACACUUGAUCCUAGCUUCAUGGACAUUGAUCCAGGGUUUCUCCCUUCUCUCGUUCAAAUAAUCGAUAUUUGCAAAAUGUGUGAUGGGUCAGUCAUUUUGCAUACAAAUAUGCUGUUAUUUUUCUAUUACUGAUUUUUAAAACAAAUCUUCAGAUUCCUCUUUCAGCUACACCUCCAUUCAUUUGCUUCCCUCUGUAGCAAAAUUCCUUAAAAUAGUUAUCUGUUCUCCUCCCUAAUUCCUUUCCUCUUAAAUUACUUCAGUUAGGAUUUACCCUUACCAUUCCACUGAAACUGCUUAUGUAAAGGUCACCAGUGAUCUCCACAUUAAUAAAUCCAAUGGACAAACUUGAAUUCUCAUCUUACUUAUCAGCAGCAUUUGACACAAUUGAUUCUCUUUGAUAUACUUUCUUCACAUGGCUUGCUGAAUAUCACACUGUCUUGCUUUUAUUUCUACCUAGCUCAGUAUCUCCUUCUUAAUAUCAUUUUCUGGUCCCUCCUUUUCUGUAUAACUUCUUAACAUUGGAGUGUCCCAAGUCUCUAUUUGUGGUCCUCUUCUAUUCCCUAUCUAUUGUCAUUCCUUAUUAAUUAUAUCCAGUCUCAAGACUUUACAUUCCAUCUGUAUGUCAAUGACUCUCAAAUCUGUAGCCAAAACCACUCUUCCAAAUCCCAGGCUCAUAUACUCAACUGUUUACUCAACACAUCCACUUAGAUAUCUAAUAUAUAAACUUAACAUAUUCAAAGUUGAACUCUGUCACUUCCCCCUAUACUUAACCUCACGAAACAUAUUUCACACAUAACCUACUCAUCUCAGUUGAUAAAAACCCCAUUCUUCUAGUUGUUCAAGGCAAAAACUUUGUAGUCAUCCUUGACUUCUUUAUUUUAUACCUUAACAUCUAAUCCAUCAGAAAACACUUUUGGCUAUGCCUUCAAAUUGUAUUCAGAAUCAGACCACUUGUAACUGUCUACAAUACUACCACCUUGUUCAAGCUACCAUUAUCUCUCACUUGGAUUAUUUCCACAGUUUUCUAAUGGUCUUUCUACUACUGUCCUUAUCACCUAUACAAUUUAUUCUCAAUCCAGCAGUCAAGUGAUCCUUUUAAAACGUAAGUCAGAUCGUGUCAUUCUAAAACCAUGCAAUGGCUCUCCCUUUCGUUCAUAGUAAAAGUAAAAUUUGUUUCCAGGGUCUACAUGACCAGACUCGCAAUGACUUCAUGUCUUCCUGUCCCCCAGAUGAUACCAGCACACUCCCUCCUUUGGGAUUCUCCACUGUCUAUGUCCCCACAUUUGGAAUACCCUUCUUCUAAAUCAGGGAUCAGCAAACUAUGCCCCUCAAACUAUUUUUGUAAGUAAUGUUUUAUUUGGACCCAGCCAUGCCCAUUUUUUAACUUAUUGCCUAUGGUCACUUUUGCACUACAAUUGCAGAGUUGAGCAGUUGCAAUAUCGCUCAUAAAACCUAAAAUAUUUACUAUAUGAUCCUUUACUGAAAAAGUUUGCUGCCCCUUGGGCUAGACGUUUUCUUGACUUACUGUCUUAUUUUCCUCCCCAAAUCUCAUCUUUUCAAUGAAAGCAAUACUUGGCCACUCCAUUUAAUUAAUAUUAUGACCUUAUUCUAUGGCCCUGAUACUCCCUAUCCCUUUUAUUCUGCUCUUCAUCUUUUCCCCCUCCUCUGGUUCUUUUAACAUACUACGUAAAGUAUUUAUUAUUUUCAUUAUGUCUGGCCCUUAACUCUCAUUAUAAUGUAAAUUAAAUGAGAACAAGGAUCUUUGUCUCUAUUUUUUUCAAUGAUGUAUUUCAUUGAAGAGUGUCUGGCAUAUGACAGAUUCUUCAUAAUCAUUUGUUGACUAUUGAAUAAAUGUAUAUAUUUUUACUAAUCUUUUUCUUCCUUGUUUAUAAACAACAGAAUUAAACCAAAAACCAAACCCACUGCCAUCAAGUCAAUUCCAACUCAUAGCCAUCCCAUAGGGCUUCCAAAGCUGUAAAUCUUUUUUGGAAGUGGACCGCAACAUUUUUGUCUCCUGGAGCCUGUGGUGGCUUCUAAGCACCAACCUUUCGGUUAGCAGUUGAAUGCUUUAGCCACUGUGUCACCAGGGCUCCUUAAUAACAGAAUAGGUUGUUAAAAAUUUCUCACUGAAGUUGUAGAUUUGUCAAUCUCUCUGCAGUUCUGUCAAUUUUUCUUUGCAUAUUUUGAAGCUAUGUUAUCAGGUAGGUACUUUUCAAAUUGCUGUCAUUUUUUAUUAAUUGAUUGAAUAUUAUCUAGUGAUCCUCUUUAUUGCAAAUAAUGCCUUUGCAUUAUUUGUUUAAUGUCAAUACAGUGACACCAGUUUUUUUGGCUAGAUUUGUGAGAAAUAUACUUAUAUUCCAAAUUUUUGCUGCCAACCUUUCUGUGGGUUUUUUGCUCAUUUUCUUUGUCCAAUAUAAGAAUGCCUGCUUUUUAACUGGCAACUUUAUGCUAUUUAUGCUUACUGUUAUUAUUAAUAAUUUAGAGUUUUACAUCUUGUUUUAUUUGUUCUGCUUUUUCUAUAAUUUUUAAAACAAUCCUUUCCUGCCUCUGUUGCACUGAUUUUCUGCAUUUCUUUUCUCCUCCCUACUGAUUUAGAAUUAUGUAUUCUAGUUCUCUUCUAUUAGGAGAUAUUCUUGAAUGUUAAAAUUUCCUUUUAUCUUAAGUAUAGCCUGUAGUAAUUUUCUCACCCAUCUCACCCAAUCAUCUAUUUUGCAGGUGGCAAAGCUAAGGUCCAGUGAAAUAAAGAGAUUGGCCAGGAAUCUCAGUAUACAUCAAGACCAGAAUCAGAACCUAUUCCUUUUAACCCCCUUUCCAGUAUUCUUUCUUCUAUGCCAACACUUCCAGUCCUUUCCCUGCUCAAACCCUAUAUGUUAUGCGAUUCUAUUAGCCAAGAGGAAGUUGGGGGCGGGGGGAGUGAGAUAAAGGAAACUGACUGACCUCAAUUUCACUCUCCUGAUGAGUGAGCCAUCUUUGGGGCUUUACCACCUCUGUUGUUGCUUCCACUUUACUUGGGACUUAUCGUGAGCUGGAAGCACAUGACUCUAUACUGAUGACGCUCUGUGCAUGCCCACAUGGACUAAACUAUGCAACACCGUAACCAUGGACUCACAACCUGCAGAGUUGCAGAAAGUUGACUUCACCACACUCAGAACAUUCUCCUGCAGGCCUAUCAAGUCCUCCCCUCCUCCCGUCCAACUCCAGAUAAUAUAUUCCUUAGGACUUUAGCAAAUAUAUUAUUUUAAAAAUGAGAAUGGGUAGAAUUGUCUGCUAAGGUCAAACAUGUUAUAUGAUGUCAGAGAUUUCGCUGCCUUCCUGGCCCUAAAUUGCUCUGAAAUGAUACAAUGCAUUUAUUUGUAUUAAUCAGCCUGGCAUUUUUUAUUUACAGUCUUCUAGGUUGUUGUAAUGGGUAUAGGUUUUGUUAAGGAUCUCUAAGUGGUUCAAAAGGUUAACACCCUUGGCUGCUAACUGAAAGGUUUGUGGUGCAAGUCUACCCAGAAAUGCCUCAGAAGAAAGACCUAGUGAUCUAUUUCCAAAAAGUCAGCCGCUGAAAAUUGACAGUUCUACUCUGACACACAUGGGGUCGCCAUGAGUUGGGGCCAUCUUGACAGCAACUAGUUACUGGUACUUUUUAUUUUGUGGUUCUGCCUUCUUAAAAGAAUGGAAAUUUCCUUGAAAGCUGGAACCAUAUUCUAAGAAUUCUAUUUUCUAAACCUCAAAGUGGGACCUAUAAAUAAGAAUAUACAUGUAAAUAUGAGAUAGAACAUUGGAAUCAGAGUCUGGUGAAAGUAUUAGAAGCAAGAAACAAUGUUGGUCAUAGUGUUAGGCAUGAUUUGGAGAAGGUUAUUGCUGGAGGCAAGUGAUCUGUUGAAAACACUCUAAGCAAGAGGUUUCAACUUGGGCCUUGUGUUAGCCAAACACUCUGCACUGCUAGUGAGAAAUCCCUGUAACGAUUUGUCAUUCAGCAAGAAGGAGGGUGCUGAUCUCAGUUGUUUGAGGAAAAGCCAUGCUUCUUCUGGCCCAGUGGGAGGGGAGGAAAAUGGUCGGAGUCAGCAGGGUCAUGCCCCAGGGGAAAUAGUAGUGUCCAGUAGCAUUUUCACCUGUGUUUAUUUAUUCUCCUAAACCGAAACUAGAUGAAUGGACAGAGAAUGUACAAAUGAAUAUCUAAGAAGUUCCAAGGGAGUCUAUUUUCCUGAUGAAGGAUGAAAGCUUAAAUGGAGGCUUGAACCAGAGAUUUGGUAAAUCAACAUGGUUUGGUUUAAACCUACUUCUUUGGCUUUUUUUUUUUUUUUCUUUCUCCUGGAGAACAAUGUCUCACAAAAAUAGUGAAUGAUUAAGUGUUGACUGAGUUAUAUAACCCCGUUGCUAUUGAGUCACUUCUGACUUAUGGUGACCCCAUAUGUUACAGCAUAGAACUGUGCUCCAUAGGUUCUUGGCUGUAAUCUUUAUGGAAGCAAAUUACCAGGCUUUUUAUUCUUCUGCGGUGCCACUGGCUGAGUUCAAACCACCAACCCUUAAGUUAGUAGUUGUAUGUAAACUGUUUGUACCACCCAGAGACCUUCUGAGUAGUAUAGAGAGUAAUCACUAUAAAGAGUUCACAACCACAGUGGAUUGGAGCAACCCUGAAAGUGGUGACUAGAACUUGGUCUUGGGUGACUAGGAUUCAGAUUAAGUGGAAAGGAGAGAGAAAGGAAAGGAGGCAUUUGCUGGGUGGAGGGAAACGCCAUGUACAAAUGAAACAGGAAGGCACAAGGUCACUAUUACUCCUGGUUUUCACAGAUAAGAAAACUGAGGCUCAGAUAGUCCAACUAACUUGUUUUAGGUUAUAAGCUACUUGACACCAAAGCUUACUUUCCUUUUCCCACAGUCCUCUGUCUUACAAGUUCAUAAGAGUCAUAGGCAUGUAAACAAGUAACUAUGAUAUAACAAAUGUUUGUUAAAUUGAAAGCUGUUCCAUUACUUUUCAUUUUCCUUUAGUUGGACUUUCCAUGACACCUCAAAAAAAGGAAGCAACAUCACUUUCUAGAAAAAUAUUCACUUCCUGAACUGAAGUCACUAAAGGAACUCACAUGGGCGUGCUAUUUUUUCAAAGACAGAGGUAGUAGUGACAUAAUCCUGUUCAAAGCACAGACUGGCAAUUUCUGAAGGUGAAGAAAUGCCUCCCCCCUAAAAAAAAAAAAAAAAAAGAGAGAGAGAGAGGGAGAAUGGGGACCUAGAAAGGAAAGGAAAGGCAGAGCUACUUAACUUCAAAAUCUACUAAUUAAGCUGAUAAUCUUCUUACAGUUAGAAACAUUCCAGAUUUUCAGAAAUGGAAGUUUCUGUCAAAAGCAGUUCAACAUUCAUGGUCUUUGUAAGGUAUGUAUUCUUUUCAGGUUUUUCAAACCAAGGCAAAAAGGAAAACCCACGAAGGAUCGUUGCUGAUAUAAUUUACUCUCAUUUGUCUCUGAUCCUUUAUGGAAUAAAGUUGUAAAUCAACAGAAUCAAGCAAGUAAGCAAUAUGCAAUGGAAGAGACUAAUUUUCUCAUAUAGAGUUACUGUUCCAAUUUCCAUGUGCUCCUGGCUCCUACUCAGGCCUAGCCUCACCAAGUGACUAGGCAGUUAAUUGCAGGAACUUAAGGUGAUUAUGAGUUGUAAACUGAGGGGCAUGAGUAACUCAAUCUCCUGCAUCUGAAAUUCAAACUUAAAGAAGGAAGGAAGGAUAGAAAGAAAGAAGGAAGGAAGGAAAGAAAGAAAGAAAAAAGGAAGGAAGGAAAAAUGCUAGGAAGUUGACAAGGAUAAAAUACUGUUAGAAAGGCUGCAAUUGCCAGGGCAAUGAGUAUAGGGGCCCUACUGGUGGCUAGAGAUAGAAUAAUUGGCUAUUUUGGUUCUUUUGGUAUCUUUUAAGUAGGGAAAACAGAGGUAGGUACCACUUCCCAAAGAUUUUCUAAGACCCUUUGCCAGUGUUCUAUUAGAGCCCUUACCAUACUGUAUUGUAAUUUUUUGUCCAUGUGCAGGUCUGCCAACCCCAAUAGACUGAGUAAUUAGAGGGGGUGAUAGUAUUUUAUUACUAUUUAUAUUCCUACUGCCUUGCACAUAGUAGAUGCCCUCAUAUGCUGGGUGGGUAAAUCGGUAGGUGGGUAGGUAGAUGGGUAGAGAGAAAUCAUCACACUCACCACUUAAGCAACAAAAACCUGGCAGUAGAAGGAAGUCACCAAAGGAAUUCAUUUCCAUGAGGCAUCUCAGGUACACUGACUAGGGAGUGUGUGUUGGCAAUCAAAUGAGUAAUUCACUGAGAAAGUACUUAGGAGGUUUUAGAAAAAAAUUUUUUCAAGGAAGACAAGUCACAAUUACAUCCUUUGACUUGUAAUUGUAACAAUACUGUAGAAUGAGUUAAGCUCUGGAUAUGCAGGUGUCCCAGAAAAGGCCAACGAAAGAUCAGCAUCCAGAAUAUUUGGAAAAUGUGCCCUUUGAUUAGUUAUUUAAACCACCUGGAGUGAUUUUUUUUUUUUUUUUUUUGAGCCCUGGUGAUGCAGCGGAUAAAGAGCUUGGCUGCUAACUAAAAGGUCGGCAGUUCAAAUCCACCAGUUGUUCCUUGGAAACCCUGGGGGACAGUUCUACUCUGUUUUAUAGGAUUGCUAUGAGUCAGAAACGACUCGAUGGCAAUGGGUUUGGUUCGGAGUGAUUUUUAAAUGCUCUUUCCUAGAAAAAUGGUUCUCAGCUUUGCCUUUUGUCCUACAACUCCCUCUCGAUUUCUCUCUUCUUUCCCAUGCCCCACUGAUAUAUUUGAAAUAUUAGCAGAUUUCUCUUUUUACUCUCAUGGUGUUUCUUCCAAACUGUCAUUCCUGUCUCUUCAUAUCUGUACCUCAUUUAAGCAAUUACAACUCUGUGUUUAUUGCCUUUGGGGCGGGGGGGGGGGGCGGGAAAUGUGGCUUGGUAGAAUGUUGAAAUAUCCUGAGAGCUAUUGCUUUAGUUCUGAAAUCCUCAGUGAUGUAGGUGAAAGAGAUAGUUUGGGGCUCGUCCAAAAUGUAUGAAGAACAAUGUUGGAGGAGAACAUUUUCUAUACACUAGAAAAUGUUUCUCCAGGCUGAGGAAGAUGUAAGAAAGAGAAGAUAUGAUGAAAAUAGCUAAGUGGGUAUUCCAGAAAGAGGGGCUCUAUGCCCUGCUUCCUGCGAAGAAUGAUAAUGAGGUGAAAACAGUCCAGAAAGAUUUAGGGGAGUAGAAAGAACCUGUACCCUGCAGGGGAAGGAACAGAACCACAGAGAAGGAAUGACAAUGUGGUAGUUAAGACAAGAGAGGGCCAUGGACAACUUACAAGAUUACCAUAACCCAUGAUGACCCAGAAGCAGAAAAAUGACUCAGAUGGGGCCCAGAAUCUGUGAAAAGAUCCACCAGUCUUUAGAUGUUUUCCAGAAAGAACCUAAGGCAAUUUUAUAGGACCAAUUAAAGACACGUAAUUUGGACCGAGCAUUGCAACUCAGAUGUUGAGAGGAGCCAGGAAGCCAACAAUAACAACAACAACAAAGAAGCCAUUUGGAGUAAGGAAAAUCAGUUGCCUGAAAUAUAAUUAAAGUAUACCUAUUUUUACUAAUCUACAUUGUGUGUUCCAUGACAAACAAGUACGUUAAUUGAGUUCUCUGAUUAGGAACCAGAAACUUGGCAAUGUCAGAUCUUGUAUCAUGUUUGUGGUGUACGGUAUAAAGAUGUCAGUCGUGUGUGUGUGUGUGUGUACUUUUUUUAACUGGGAAUGAUGUUUAACUCAUAAUCAUAGCUGGUCACAAACAUGUGUUCUUCCAAACAGAAUUUUCAUAACUGUUUUUUAUCAUCAGGACAAUUGCUCCUCAUUUCUGUACUCAGGCCAGUAAUAUUAAUUAGAAGUAGCAUCUUAAACAAUUUUAGUUCAUUUUCAAACCGUCUGAAACCAGAAAACUAUUUUUGAAAUUCAGUCUUUAGUUCCCUAAUUUUGGGGCAGUAGUUUAGGCCAUAUUUUUACUUAGGGGGACAGAGACCAAUCUGAGUUUACGAAAGUGGGUCAUACUAUUCCUUGCCAAAUCAGUGUUUCAAAGACAUUAUUUUUUUUUAAGAGAAAAUUAAAUAACUUAUUUGGGAACCUACAAAUGAAUACUGCUAUAAAGGAAUAUUUAAAGUAUUUAGAUGGGUUAUAAUAACAAACAAAAAGGCUAACUUUUGAUCUAAUCUUUACCACAAGCUAUUACUAGAAUUUCCCUUUGAAUAACAUAGUCCAGUCCAUUUUUUUUUUUCAACAAAUGAAAAAAUAUCUUUUGCACCAAGUAAUGAAUGGCUAAGAUGCCUCAUUUGUAUUUUCUAUAGCACUCUAGAUAUUGGCCAUUUUUUUCAUUAAGCAAAGUAUUGCACUGUCUGUGGUUCAGGCACAGGAGGAUGACUGGUUCCCUGGAGCUAAUUACGACAUUUAUGUUAGGCUAAAUUUUUAACUUCCUAGCGCAAUGUGAUUUCUGUGAAUGAUAUAAUGGGAAGAGUAGAGUUCCAGGUUCCGGAAAAGCAACGCCACCCUGGAUUUAAACUUCAUCCUAAACUACUGUUAACACCAAGUACCAGUUGUACUCACAAGAGAACCAUUUGAAGUCACACUUACUAUUUGCGACUAGUCUGCAUUAAAAUUUUCAAGAAUUUUUCAACACAUAAAAAUGAGUCAUUUCCUGUGGUUAUGUCUCUAUUGGGCACUAAGUCCAAAAGUUAUUCAGUAGUGUUAAAAUAUUCAUCAACACCACGAAAGCAGUAAGAAGGUACUAUUUAAACCUCUGCUGUCCUCAGCUGCAACAGAAAAUACUCCAAAUGAUUAUAUUUUUUCACAAAGUUUGUUUUAUAGGUUCUUAGCUAUGUCUUCAAAAUGCAAAGCAACAUUAUGUCUAUUUUAGACUUCUAUUUUGAAUGGUCAUUUCCCAUCAGGACAUAUCAGUUCUGCUGCACAUGACUGGCACAGUUUUAUAAAAUUGUCAUCUGUAAACAGAUUUGACUCCCGGGGAAAUUUUCUUGCUUAACUUGUAGAUGGGUUUCACAACAACAUGUCAUUUAGUCAAAACUCAGCCUCGUUGACAAGUUAGGCCCUUUCAUAGUUCACUAAGUUUGUUAUCCUGCGUAAUUCCCGUAUUCAUGUUGCUGCCCUGAGUUGUAUUCUGUUGUAUCAGUCACAUAUUGUGUAUACAUUAUGUGACUGAUACAACAGUCACAUAAAAAAAAAAAAAUUUUUUUUUUUUUUAAGCAUCUUUAAUUUUUAAAGACCAAAUAAAAGUUUUAUUUUGUUUGGUUUUUUACUCAAAUUGACCCCAGACAAUUUGCUUAUAUUAAAAAAAAAAAAAAAGUGGUGGUAGUGGUGCCCAAGACACGAGGAGUUAUAGGAAAGCCGAAUCUGACAGGGGCAAAUAUUCUCAUCUCAAAGACAUUAUGGACUAGCGAGCAACUCUGUAGGAAAGGUAACAUUUCAUUUUUCUUAUUGUCUACUCUAUUAUUUACAUACAUUUUAAUUCCUUUUAAAAUGUACUCCCCCCGAAUGAAUCAUGCUAACUGUCCCUCCUACCCCAGCCCUAGUAUAGUGAUCUGUACUGGCACAAUUGUAGCAGUUGCCACUGAGUCAAAUCCAAUUCAUGGAAACCCCAUGUGUGUCAGAGCAGAGCUGUGCUCCAAAGAGUUUUCAGUGGUUGGCUUUUUGGAAGUAAAUUGCUAGGCCCUUCUUUCAAGGUGACUCUAGGCGGACCUCCAACUUGGUUAUCAGAGGAGCGCAUUAACUGUUCGCAUUAUCCAGGAACUCCAAAUCAAUUGUACCUCUUUUUAAAAAUUACUAAAUGGCUGCUAACCAAAGGGUCGGCAGUUCUAAUCUGCCAGGUGCUCCUUGGAAACUCUAUGGGGCAGUUCUACCCUGUCCUAUAGGGUUGCUAUGAGUAGGAAUCGACUCGAUGGCACUGGGUUUUAAUACUAACUGCCUUCACAAUUUUUCAGUCAACCAUUUAAUAUAUUUAUUGAGUUUCUAUUAAAUUCAAGGCUCUCCUCGCUGCAUGAUGAAAAGAUAAAUAAGAAUAAGUUUUGUAUUCCAGGAGCCUAACGUCUACUAACGUGCAUGUAUCCACACCUCCAAAGGAAAUCCAGUGGCUUGGGGCUAUCCAGUACACUUUUUUUUUUUUUUAAGGGCAGUUUUAGUUUACAGAAAAAUUGAGCAGAAAAUACGGAGAGUUCCCGUGUACUCCUUCUCCCCUGCCCAGUUUCCCCUGCUAUUAGCAUCAUCCAUUCCUGUGGCACAUAUACCAUAAUUGAUGAACCAAUAUUGACACAUUAUUGUUAAAGUCCAUAGUUUGCAUUAGGUUUGCUUUUUGUUUUGCAGUUCUACUCUGUCCUAUAGGGUCGCUAUGAGUCGGAAUUGACUCAACGGCACUGGGUUUGGUUCGGGUUUUGGUUUAUGGGUUUUGACAAAUGCGUAAUGUUGUAUGUCCACUAUCAUAAUAUACUACAGGGUAGUUUCACUGCCUUAAAAUUGCCCUGGCCUUCACAGUAUUUUAAAGUUGAAUUUAUUCUAACAUUUUAAAAUUGCAUUAUUAAUACAGAAAACCCAAAUUUCCAUCUUCUCUUAAAAAACUGAAGACUAAUAUCACUGGUUUGCACUCUCAUAUGACAAAACCAAAACAAACUCACUACAAUCUAGUCGGUUCUGACUCAUAGCUACUUACCGGACAGCGGAGAACUGCCCACACAGUGUUUCCAAGGCUAUAAAUCUUUACGGAAGCAGAUUGCCACAUCUUUCUCAUGAGGAGUGUCUGGUGGGUUCCAAAUGCCAACCCUUUAGUUAGCAACCCAGCACUUUAAUGACUGUGCCACAGGGCUCCUCUUCUCCUGGCAACAUAGGGGCUAAAGCUGAGAGGUGGCUUUUCUUUACCUGUUGGAGUCAGCCACAGGCUGAUCAUCCUCUGAGUAUCUGUUGGUAUUUAUCAUUCCAUUCCAAGCCAAUUUCAGCCUUUGGUUACCUGCUGACCUCUCUGAACCAAGCAAGUUUUAACUAAAAUCUAUGCUGAUCAUAUGAGUGAGAAAUGAUAAAUGAAAAAUGCAGAUUGGCAGGUUCAAAGUUAAAUAUCACAGGGCAAGUUUGUUUUAACAUUUUUGGCAUACAACUAAUUCUUGCUAUGGUUUUGUGGAAAGCAGCCUACAUGAAAGCUUUGGGAAGUCUCACAAGUAAGUAUCUCACCACAAAUUACAAGCAAACCAAAAGAUUCCAAAUGCAGUUGAAAACCAAAACUUUCUCUGGAUGCCAACUAAGAAAACUGUUUAUUCGGUUUCAUUUUCUUUUUCCCUUAUAUAAAAGAAGGAAACUGACUUACUUUCCUUUUUUUUUUCCUUGAUUCUUACGAUGGAGUGAAAAGAGGAAGACAUUUCUUACUGUAGUGAGUGAUAUUGGUAUCCUACCCAGAUCCCCUUCACUGACAGAGCAUGUCCAUCCCCCAAACAGCAUUGAGUGUCACUGCUGAGGGCCCACAGCUGCCCCUUCUCCAGAGAGCUGGAGAGCUUGAGAGAAGCUGCCUCACUUGAGAGGUUGCUCUGCCCCCAGGCAGCCAGUUACUAGUGACUGACUUAGGGGAUAUAGAAUGCCAGCUCCCUUGCCUCAAACCGGGACUAACUUUAAUGUAUAAUUCAUGCUCCAAAAUUCCCCCAUAGGACACAAGCUGAAGCUAGGCUCAGCUGAGAACAUAUUCUUACUGUCUUUCCUCCUCUAUUUAGCUUCCCUCCCUCUCCUUCUCCUGAGAGUGCUUCCUUGUUAAAUUGUCUUCACAAAAAUUCCUGUUUCAGGCCCCACUCCUAGGGAACUUGACCUAAGACAAUUACUAGUCACUGAAUAGAUUCAUCUCUGGCUCCCACUACAGAAACUAGGUAAAUUCAAAUUCUUUGUUUCUGUUUGAAGAAGGCAGGUCACUUAGUCCAGCCUGACACCUCUGCAGUUGGGCCGCAUUAAAAAGCACCCCCUGAGUCACAACCUCUACCCCAACAAAAAUUCAUUCUGCUAUGGACUUGCCAGCUAUCCCCUUAGAUCAAGAUACAAUAACCCCACUCAGGUGAAACAAAUAAAUAAUGACUAACCAUAGAUUUUUCCCGUAGGUUCCUAGGGAAAUAACCUACUAAAUAAUCCAAUUUCUGCUUGGGGAUCAAAUAAGGAAAUCUGACAGUGAGAUAGGGAGAGAUGCUUAGGAAUGUAAAGCCAGAGUAAUCAAAAGUUACUGUAAUUAUUAAUAAAAGAAAAACCUACUCCAUAAAUUUCUACUUCAUCCUAGAAUGUCAGCAAUCCCAUUUAUAGUCUAUGUUAAGAGUCUAAGUAAUAAUUCUUAGUUGACAUGUCUUUUUCUUGCUGACUGUAACUUUGCCAUGGAGAAUGGUGAGGGACCUUCUUUGACUGGGACUCCAAAGCAAUGGGCUCCAAUGGUGUUGCAGUAUGUUGUCGAUAGGUGCCAUUUAGUUGAUUCCAGGUCAAAAUGACCCUAUGUAGAACAGAACGAAGCACUGCUCCGUCCUGCACCAUCCUCACAAUCCUUGCUAUGUUUGAGCCAGUUGUUGUAGCCACUGGAUCAAUCCAUCACAUUGAGGGUCUUCCUCUUUUUCAUUGACCUUCUACAUUACCAAGCAUGAUAUCCUUCUCCAGGGUCUGGUCCCUCCUGAUAACACGUCCACAGUACAUAAGAUGAAGACUUGCCAUCCUCGUUUCUGAGGCGCAUACUAGGGUGUUUUCAGUGAUCAGAAAUGUGGGCAGGUCGCCAUAAAGCUUUCAAAGAUCCCAUAGAUAAGAUUUAGUUGUUUAGAAUUCAAUACCUAAAUUUUUUUACAAUAUUUGUAUGUGAAAAUUUUGGGCAUCGCAAAAUGAAACCACAAUAAUAGGAAAUGAUGAUACCUUCAAAGUUGAAAAAUUCCCAUCUUGAGAACUAGAUCCUUAAAAGAUCACCAUCAAAUUGUAAAAUAAAGGUUUGCAUAGUUAUAAGGGAGCAACCAACACCAGGUAGGAUAGACAGGGAAGGACUGGACAGUGUUUUAAGAGACAGGUAGGAUUUUACCCCAGUAUCCUAGUGUGUGGAAACCCUGGUGGCAUAGUGGUUAAUUGCUACAGCUGCUAACCAAAAGGUUGGCAGUUUGAAUCCGUCAGGUGCUCCUUGGAAACUCUAUGGGGCGGUUCUACUCUGACCUAUAGGGUCGCUAUGAGUCCGAAUUGACUCGACGGCUGUGGGUGGGUAUCCUAGUCUGUGGUAUUUUCUGGGGCAUUCCACUCCUGGGAAGUAUCUAAACCUAAAUA
Long non-coding RNA from Loxodonta africana (African savanna elephant), 13457 nucleotides. RefSeq lists it as uncharacterized. Lineage: Eukaryota; Metazoa; Chordata; Mammalia; Proboscidea; Elephantidae. The transcript is spliced from 2 exons. The record is from RefSeq and is a predicted model, not a curated record.